CCCCCGGCGCGCGGGCCUGGCUCCCCUCCCCGGCCCCGCCCCGACAGGCGGGCUGCCCUGAGGAGGCGGGGAGGGGAGGGCUGGGCCGGCCGGCGGGCAGACGACGAUGCCAAACUUCUGCGCGGCCCCCAACUGCACGCGCAAGAGCUCGCAGUCGGACCUGGCCUUUUACAGGUUCCCGCGGGAUCCAGCCAGAUGUCAGAAGUGGGUGGAGAAUUGUGGGAGAGCAGAUUUAGAAGAUAGAACACCUGAUCAACUAAAUAAACAUUAUCGAUUGUGUGUCAAACACUUUGAGAGGUCUAUGAUCUGUAGAACUAGCCCUUAUAGGACAGUUCUUCGAGAUAAUGCAAUACCAACAAUAUUUGAUCUUACCAGCCAUCUGAAUAAUCCACACAGUAGACACAGAAAACGAAUAAAAGAAUUGAGUGAAGAUGAAAUCAGGACACUGAAACAGAAAAAAAUUGAUGAAACUUCUGAACAGGAACGAAAACAUAAGGAAAUAAACAACAGCAAUGCUCAGAACCCCAGUGCAGAAGAACGGGGUGAAGAGCAGGGUGAAGACAUUUUACCUUUAACCCUUGAAGAGAAGGAAAACAAAGGAUACUUAAAAUCUUUAUUUGAAAUUUUGAUUCUUACGGGAAAACAGAACACACCUCUGGAUGGACAUGAAGCUGAUGAAAUCCCAGAAGGUCUCUUUACUCCUGAUAACUUUCAAGCACUGCUGGAAUGCCGGAUCAAUUCUGGUGAAGAGGUUCUGAGAAGGCGCUUUGAGACAACAGCAGUUAACACAUUGUUCUGUUCGAAAACACAGCAGAAACAGAUGCUAGAGAUCUGUGAGAGCUGCAUCCGGGAAGAAACCCUCAGGGAAGUGAGAGACUCUCACUUCUUUUCCAUCAUCACUGACGAUGUGGUGGACAUAGCAGGGGAAGAGCACCUGCCUGUGUUGGUGAGGUUUGUUGACGAAGCUCACAACCUGAGAGAGGAAUCUGUGGGCUUCCUGCCUUAUGAAGCCGAUGCAGAAAUUCUGGCUGUGAAAUUUCACACUACGAUAACUGAGAAGUGGGGAUUCAGCAUGGAGUACUGUCGUGGCCAGGCUUACAUUGUGUCCAGUGGAUUUUCUUCCAAAGUGAAAGUUGUUGCUUCUAGACUUUUAGAGAAAUAUCCCCAAGCUAUGUACACGCUCUGCUCUUCCUGUGCCUUAAAUAUGUGGUUGGCAAAAUCAGUGCCUGUUAUGGGAGUAUCUAUCGCGUUAGGAACAAUUGAGGAAGUUUGUUCUUUUAUCCAUCGAUCACCACAACUGCUUUUAGAGCUUGACAAUGUAAUUUCUGUCCUAUUUCAGAACAAUGAAGAAAGGGGCAAAGAACUGAAGGAAAUUUGCCAUUCUCAGUGGACACGCAGGCAUGAUGCUUUUGAAAUCUUAGUGGACCUCCUACAA
This is a non-coding RNA of Delphinapterus leucas (beluga whale), 1435 nucleotides long. The record is from RefSeq and is a predicted model, not a curated record. Lineage: Eukaryota; Metazoa; Chordata; Mammalia; Artiodactyla; Monodontidae.